RNAcentral lists this ribosomal RNA (242 nucleotides) under uncultured bacterium. RNAcentral's name for it is "partial 16S ribosomal RNA". It matches the Rfam family "Bacterial small subunit ribosomal RNA", at positions 524 to 761 of the family's 1533-position model. The record is from RNAcentral.
UACGAAGGGGGCUAGCGUUGCUCGGAAUCACUGGGGCGUAAAGGGUGCGUAGGCGGGUCUUUUAAGUCAGGGGUGAAAUCCUGGAGCUCAACUCCAGAACUGCCUUUGAUACUGAGGAUCUUGAGUUCGGGAGAGGUGAGUGGAACUGCGAGUGUAGAGGUGAAAUUCGUAGAUAUUCGCAAGAACACCAGUGGCGAAGGCGGCUCACUGGCCCCGAUACUGACGCUGGAGGCACGAAAGCG